This 500-nucleotide ribosomal RNA is filed under the name uncultured bacterium. RNAcentral describes it as "partial 16S ribosomal RNA". It matches the Rfam family "Bacterial small subunit ribosomal RNA", at positions 30 to 523 of the family's 1533-position model. The record is from RNAcentral.
AUUGAACGCUGGCGGCAUGCCUUACACAUGCAAGUCGAACGGCAGCACGGGAGCAAUCCUGGUGGCGAGUGGCGAACGGGUGAGUAAAGUAUCGGAACGUGCCCAGUCGUGGGGGAUAACGUAGCGAAAGUUACGCUAAUACCGCAUACGAUCUAUGGAUGAAAGCGGGGGAUCGCAAGACCCCGCGCGAUUGGCACGGCCGAUAUCAGAUUAGGUAGUUGGUGGGGUAAAGGCUCACCAAGCCGACGAUCUGUAGCUGGUCUGAGAGGACGACCAGCCACACUGGGACUGAGACACGGCCCAGACUCCUACGGGAGGCAGCAGUGGGGAAUUUUGGACAAUGGGCGAAAGCCUGAUCCAGCCAUGCCGCGUGCAGGAUGAAGGCCUUCGGGUUGUAAACUGCUUUUGUACGGAACGAAAAGGUUUGGCCUAAUAAGCUGAGCUCAUGACGGUACCGUAAGAAUAAGCACCGGCUAACUACGUGCCAGCAGCCGCUGUAA